RNAcentral lists this ribosomal RNA (483 nucleotides) under uncultured bacterium. RNAcentral describes it as "bacterial SSU rRNA". It matches the Rfam family "Bacterial small subunit ribosomal RNA", at positions 37 to 507 of the family's 1533-position model. The record is from RNAcentral.
UGAACGCGUAGCGGCAGGCUUAACACAUGCAAGUCGAGGGGCAGCACGGGUAGCAAUACCUGGUGGCGACCGGCGCAAGGGUGCGUAACGCGUGAGCAACAUGCCCUAUAUAGGGGGAUAAUCCAGGGAAACUUGGUCUAAUAUCCCAUAGCAUUUAGAGGAGGCAUCUUCACUAAAUUAAAGCUUCGGUGGUAUAGGAUUGGCUCGCGUGACAUUAGCUAGAUGGUGAGGUAACGGCCCACCAUGGCUAUGAUGUCUAGGGGUUCUGAGAGGAAGACCCCCCACACUGGGACUGAGACACGGCCCAGACUCCUACGGGAGGCAGCAGUGAGGAAUAUUGGACAAUGGAUGGAAAUCUGAUCCAGCCAUGCCGCGUGCAGGAAGACGGCCCUAUGGGUUGUAAACUGCUUUUAUAUGGGAGCAAUAAGGUUUACGAGUAGACCGAUGAGAGUACCAUAUGAAUAAGCAUCGGCUAACUCCGUG